Molecule: ribosomal RNA, 301 nt
Filed under: uncultured bacterium
Lineage: Bacteria
Description: partial 16S ribosomal RNA
Rfam family: Bacterial small subunit ribosomal RNA
Source: RNAcentral
CAGUAGCCGCGGGAAUACGGAGGGGGCUAGCGUUGUUCGGAAUUACUGGGCGUAAAGCGCACGUAGGCGGCUUGGUAAGUUAGAGGUGAAAGCCCGGAGCUCAACUCCGGAAUUGCCUUUAAGACUGCCGAGCUAGUAGGUGAGAGAGGUAAGUGGAAUUCCGAGUGUAGAGGUGAAAUUCGUAGAUAUUCGGAAGAACACCAGUGGCGAAGGCGGCUUACUGGCUCAUUCUAGACGCUGAGGUGCGAAAGCGUGGGGAGCAAACAGGAUUAGAUACCCCAGUAGUCCCUGUCUCUUAUAC